AUCUAUGGUCAUGGCACCCUGAACGUGCCCGAUCUCGUCUGAUCUUGGAAGCUAAGCAGGGUCGGGCCUGGUUAGUAUUUGGAUGGGAGACCACCUAGGAAUACCAGGUGUUGUAGACG
RNAcentral lists this ribosomal RNA (119 nucleotides) under Pteropus alecto (black flying fox). The record is from RNAcentral. Lineage: Eukaryota; Metazoa; Chordata; Mammalia; Chiroptera; Pteropodidae.